GACUCCGUAGCUCAGCUGGUAGAGCAAAUGACUCUUAAUCAUUGGGUCCUGAGUUCGAAUCUCAGCGGGGUCA
This 73-nucleotide transfer RNA is filed under the name Parapedobacter koreensis. RNAcentral's name for it is "tRNA_Lys_CTT". It matches the Rfam family "tRNA". From Rfam's summary of the family: Transfer RNA (tRNA) molecules are approximately 80 nucleotides in length. Their secondary structure includes four short double-helical elements and three loops (D, anti-codon, and T loops). The record is from RNAcentral. Lineage: Bacteria; Pseudomonadati; Bacteroidota; Sphingobacteriia; Sphingobacteriales; Sphingobacteriaceae.